RNAcentral lists this ribosomal RNA (253 nucleotides) under uncultured bacterium. Its description in RNAcentral is "partial 16S ribosomal RNA". It matches the Rfam family "Bacterial small subunit ribosomal RNA", at positions 524 to 776 of the family's 1533-position model. The record is from RNAcentral.
UACGAAGGGUGCAAGCGUUACUCGGAAUUACUGGGCGUAAAGCGUGCGUAGGUGGUUUGUUAAGUCUGAUGUGAAAGCCCUGGGCUCAACCUGGGAAUGGCAUUGGAUACUGGCGAGCUAGAGUGCGGUAGAGGGUAGUGGAAUUCCCGGUGUAGCAGUGAAAUGCGUAGAGAUCGGGAGGAACAUCUGUGGCGGAGGCGACUACCUGGACCAGCACUGACGCUCAUGCACGAAAGCGUGGGGAGCAAACAGG